This 64-nucleotide transfer RNA is filed under the name Jumnos ruckeri. RNAcentral's name for it is "tRNA-Asn". The record is from RNAcentral. Lineage: Eukaryota; Metazoa; Arthropoda; Insecta; Coleoptera; Scarabaeidae.
UUAAUUGAAACCAAAAAGAGGUACGUCACUGUUAAUGAUGUCACUGAGAUUAUCUCCAAUUAAG